CGCGGCCUAUCAGCUUGUUGGUGGGGUAAUGGCCUACCAAGGCGACGACGGGUAGCCGGCCUGAGAGGGCGACCGGCCACACUGGGACUGAGACACGGCCCAGACUCCUACGGGAGGCAGCAGUGGGGAAUAUUGCACAAUGGGCGAAAGCCUGAUGCAGCGACGCCGCGUGAGGGAUGACGGCCUUCGGGUUGUAAACCUCUUUCAGCUCCGACGAAGCUUUUGUGACGGUAGGAGCAGAAGAAGCACCGGCUAACUACGUGCCAGCAGCCGCGGUAAUACGUAGGGUGCGAGCGUUGUCCGGAAUUAUUGGGCGUAAAGAGCUUGUAGGCGGUUUGUCGCGUCUGCUGUGAAAGCCCGGGGCUUAACUCCAGGUCUGCAGUGGGUACGGGCAGGCUAGAGUAUGGUAGGGGAGACUGGAAUUCCUGGUGUAGCGGUGGAAUGCGCAGAUAUCAGGAGGAACACCGAUGGCGAAGGCAGGUCUCUGGGCCAUAACUGACGCUGAGAAGCGAAAGCAUGGGUAGCGAACAGGAUUAGAUACCCUGGUAGUCCAUGCCGUAAACGUUGGGCGCUAGGUGUGGGACUCAUUCCACGAGUUCCGUGCCGCAGCUAACGCAUUAAGCGCCCCGCCUGGGGAGUACGG
RNAcentral lists this ribosomal RNA (643 nucleotides) under uncultured Actinomycetes bacterium. Its description in RNAcentral is "bacterial SSU rRNA". It matches the Rfam family "Bacterial small subunit ribosomal RNA", at positions 232 to 885 of the family's 1533-position model. The record is from RNAcentral. Lineage: Bacteria; Bacillati; Actinomycetota; Actinomycetes.